GUGAGUCAUCGAAUCUUUGAACGCACAUUGCGCCCCCUGGUAUUCCGGGGGGCAUGCCUGUCCGAGCGUCAUUGCUGCCCUCAAGCACGGCUUGUGUGUUGGGCCCCGCCCCCCGGUUCCGGGGGGCGGACCCGAAAGGCAGCGGCGGCACCGCGUCCGGUCCUCGAGCGUAUGGGGCUUCGUCACCCGCUCUGUAGGCCCGGCCGGCGCCCGCCGGCGACCCCCAAUCAAUCUAUCCAGGUUGACCUCGGAUCAGGUAGGGAUACCCGCUGAACUUAAGCAUAUCAAUAAGCGGAGGA
RNAcentral lists this unclassified non-coding RNA (299 nucleotides) under Penicillium sp. Its description in RNAcentral is "partial contains 5.8S ribosomal RNA, internal transcribed spacer 2, and large subunit ribosomal RNA". The stretch from base 1 to 71 matches the Rfam family "5.8S ribosomal RNA", at positions 84 to 154 of the family's 154-position model. Lineage: Eukaryota; Fungi; Ascomycota; Eurotiomycetes; Eurotiales; Aspergillaceae. The record is from RNAcentral.